RNAcentral lists this ribosomal RNA (382 nucleotides) under uncultured organism. Its description in RNAcentral is "partial 16S ribosomal RNA". It matches the Rfam family "Bacterial small subunit ribosomal RNA", at positions 527 to 896 of the family's 1533-position model. The record is from RNAcentral.
GUACCGCAUGAACGUUAUUCGGGAAUCACUGGGGCUUAAAGGGGUGCGUAGGCGGCUUGGAAGGUGGGGGGGGGUGUGAAAUCCCUCGGGCUUAACCGAGGGAACUGCGCUCCAAACCGCCAGGCUUGAGGGAGGCAGGGGUGAGCGGAACUGAUGGUGGAGCGGUGAAAUGCGUUGAUAUCAUCAGGAACACCAGUGGCGAAGGCGGCUCACUGGGCCUCUUCUGACGCUGAGGCACGAAAGCUAGGGUAGCGAACGGGAUUAGAUACCCCGGUAGUCCUAGCUGUAAACGAUGAGCACUGGAUCGAGGGGGCCUCCACACCCUCUCGGUCGUAGCGAAAGUGUUAAGUGCUCCGCCUGGGGAGUAUGGUCGCAAAGGCUG